This 504-nucleotide ribosomal RNA is filed under the name uncultured Arthrobacter sp. RNAcentral's name for it is "bacterial SSU rRNA". It matches the Rfam family "Bacterial small subunit ribosomal RNA", at positions 953 to 1453 of the family's 1533-position model. Lineage: Bacteria; Bacillati; Actinomycetota; Actinomycetes; Micrococcales; Micrococcaceae. The record is from RNAcentral.
GAUGCAACGCGAAGAACCUUACCAAGGCUUGACAUGAACCGGAAAGGCGUAGAAAUACGUCCCCCACUUGUGGUCGGUUUACAGGUGGUGCAUGGUUGUCGUCAGCUCGUGUCGUGAGAUGUUGGGUUAAGUCCCGCAACGAGCGCAACCCUCGUUCUAUGUUGCCAGCACGUGAUGGUGGGGACUCAUAGGAGACUGCCGGGGUCAACUCGGAGGAAGGUGGGGAUGACGUCAAAUCAUCAUGCCCCUUAUGUCUUGGGCUUCACGCAUGCUACAAUGGCCGGUACAAAGGGUUGCGAUACUGUGAGGUGGAGCUAAUCCCAAAAAGCCGGUCUCAGUUCGGAUUGGGGUCUGCAACUCGACCCCAUGAAGUCGGAGUCGCUAGUAAUCGCAGAUCAGCAACGCUGCGGUGAAUACGUUCCCGGGCCUUGUACACACCGCCCGUCAAGUCACGAAAGUUGGUAACACCCGAAGCCGGUGGCCUAACCCCUUGUGGGAGGGAGC